AGAGCGAACGCUGGCGGCAGGCCUAACACAUGCAAGUCGAGCGCCCGUAGCAAUACGGGAGCGGCAGACGGGAUAGUAACACGUGGGAACGCGCCCUUCGGUUCGGAAUAACUCAGGGAAACUUGAGCUAAUACCGGAUACGCCCUUACGGGGAAAGAUUUAUUGCCGAAGGAACGGCCCGCGUCCGAUUAGCUAGUUGGUGAGGUAAUGGCUCACCAAGGCGACGAUCGGUAGCUGGUCUGAGAGGAUGACCAGCAUCACUGGGACUGAGACACGGCCCAGACUCCUACGGGAGGCAGCAGUGGGGAAUAUUGGACAAUGGGCGCAAGCCUGAUCCAGCCAUGCCGCGUGGAUGAUGAAGGCCUUAGGGUUGUAAAGUCCUUUAACGGGGAAGAUAAUGACGGUACCGUAGAAUAAGCCCCGGCUAACUUCGUGCCAGCAGCCGC
Molecule: ribosomal RNA, 446 nt
Filed under: uncultured bacterium
Lineage: Bacteria
Description: SSU rRNA
Rfam family: Bacterial small subunit ribosomal RNA
Source: RNAcentral